GAUGAACGCUGGCGGCGUGCCUAAUACAUGCAAGUCGAGCGAACGGACGAGAAGCUUGCUUCUCUGAUGUUAGCGGCGGACGGGUGAGUAACACGUGGAUAACCUACCUAUAAGACUGGGAUAACUUCGGGAAACCGGAGCUAAUACCGGAUGAUAUUUUGAACCGCAUGGUUCAAAAGUGAAAGACGGUCUUGCUGUCACUUAUAGAUGGAUCCGCGCUGCAUUAGCUAGUUGGUAAGGUAAUGGCUUACCAAGGCAACGAUGCAUAGCCGACCUGAGAGGGUGGUCGGCCACACUGGAACUGAGACACGGUCCAGACUCCUACGGGAGGCAGCAGUAGGGAAUCUUCCGCAAAGGGCGAAAGCCUGACGGAGCAACGCCGCGUGAGUGAUGAAGGUCUUCGGAUCGUAAAACUCUGUUAUUAGGGAAGAACAUAUGUGUAAGUAACUGUGCACAUCUUGACGGUACCUAAUCAGAAAGCCACGGCUAACUACGUG
RNAcentral lists this ribosomal RNA (497 nucleotides) under uncultured bacterium. Its description in RNAcentral is "partial 16S ribosomal RNA". It matches the Rfam family "Bacterial small subunit ribosomal RNA", at positions 28 to 507 of the family's 1533-position model. The record is from RNAcentral.